Non-coding RNA from Thermoactinomyces sp. Gus2-1, 168 nucleotides. NCBI's taxonomy places the organism in Bacteria, Bacillati, Bacillota, Bacilli, Caryophanales, Thermoactinomycetaceae. The record is from Rfam.
GUUUGCCGUAAAGCGCCUGGACUGCAGAGGAGACGUGGAUCUGCAGUUGACGAGGAGGAGGAGUAUCGAGUGAUCGGCGGAUACCUCCCGGCUUCGCAUCAAAGCCGAGGAAUCGCGACACAAAACAGCGGGGUGACCCGUUGUACAAAAGUUGCGAUAUGAUGCUAA